This 424-nucleotide ribosomal RNA is filed under the name uncultured archaeon. RNAcentral describes it as "bacterial SSU rRNA". It matches the Rfam family "Archaeal small subunit ribosomal RNA", at positions 325 to 747 of the family's 1478-position model. The record is from RNAcentral.
ACGGGGCGCAGCAGGCGCGAAACCUUUACACUGCACGCCAGUGCGAUAAGGGGAUCCCGAGUGCACAGGCAUAGAGCCUGUGCUUUUCUGAACCGUAGGGAGGUUCAGGAACAAGAGCUGGGCAAGACCGGUGCCAGCCGCCGCGGUAAUACCGGCAGCUCGAGUGAUGGCCGAUCUUAUUGGGCCUAAAGCGUCCGUAGCUGGCCUUGCAAGUCCGUCGGGAAAUCCACCCGCUCAACGGGUGGGCGUCCGGCGGAAACUGUGAGGCUUGGGACCGGGAGGCUUGAAGGGUACGUCCGGGGUAGGAGUGAAAUCCUGUAAUCCUGGACGGACCGCCGAUGGGGAAACCACUUCAAGAGAACGGAUCCGACAGUGAGGGACGAAAGGCUAGGGUCUCGAACCGGAUUAGAUACCCCCGUAGUCC